Molecule: ribosomal RNA, 510 nt
Filed under: Dicranomyia hawaiiensis
Lineage: Eukaryota; Metazoa; Arthropoda; Insecta; Diptera; Limoniidae
Description: partial 16S ribosomal RNA
Rfam family: Bacterial large subunit ribosomal RNA
Source: RNAcentral
GUCUUUUUGAAAUAAAUUUAAAGUCUGACCUGCCCACUGAUGUAAUUAAAGGGCCGCGGUAUUUUGACCGUGCAAAGGUAGCAUAAUCAUUAGUUUUUUAAUUGAAAGCUUGUAUGAAUGGUUGGACGAAAUAUUUACUGUCUCAUAAAAAUUUAUAUUAGAAAUUAAUUUUUUUGUUAAAAAGCAAAAAUAAUUUUAGAGGACGAGAAGACCCUAUAGAGCUUUAUAAUUUUAUUAUUUAAUUUUUUAAGAAAAUUUUGAAUUUUAUAAAAAUAAUUAUUUUGUUGGGGUGACAGUAAAAUUUAUAAAACUUUUAUUAUAUUAUUACAUUGAUUAAUGAAUAUUUGAUCCAUUAUUAAUGAUUAAAAAAUUAAGUUACCUUAGGGAUAACAGCGUAAUUUUUUUUAAGAGUUCAUAUCGACAAAAAAGAUUGCGACCUCGAUGUUGGAUUAAGAAUUAUUUUUAGGUGUAGAAGUUUAAAGUUUAGGUCUGUUCGACCUUUGAAUUCUU